Pelobates cultripes (western spadefoot toad) is the source of this 1038-nucleotide non-coding RNA. NCBI's taxonomy places the organism in Eukaryota, Metazoa, Chordata, Amphibia, Anura, Pelobatidae. The record is from the annotation of a GenBank genome assembly.
GGGAGAGGGAGGAGAGUUCCCCGGCGCUGGAGAAAGGUAAAUGUUUAACCCCUUCAUCCCAGCGAGAGUGGGACCCUGAGGGUAGGGGGGCCUAAAUACCCUAUAGUGCCAGGAAAAUGAGUUUGUUUUCCUGGCACUAUAGUGGUCCUUUAAAGAAAAAAACAGGCUGCCACUUCUAUACCUUUUUGAUAAAUGAACAUGGUGAAAAAAUGUAUGACCCUCAAGUUAUGUCAAAAUUAUGUUCAAAAUACUAUUCUUCUCCUUAUAUCAUAAAAUGUUGUCCUGAGUUCUUCUACACCCUGACAACAGCUAUCCGUCGGUUUGUUUGGAACCAAUGACCUACAAGGAUACGCAGAACACUUCUGGAGCGGCCCAAACACACUGGGGUGCAGGAUUGCCGUACAUAAUCAUGCACUUUCAGGCGGCGCACCUACAUUGGCUUGUGGACUGGCACGCCCACCCGAGUACUAAACUGUGGGUGGAAAUGGAAGUCCACCAGUCAAGGGGUAAGAUCCCCUCCCCACUAUGGCUCGGAGGGGGCCUUAUUUAGCGAACCCCACUUGGGCAAAUGCAUGAUACACCCUACCUUCAGAGUCUGGUGCACCCUACGUGUCACAACAGUGACCCCUUCACACAGAGUGAAAUCCAGAGGAAGACAUAUACCGGACCUUAGAAUGGCCGGACUUGCAUCUUAGAGUAGUCAAAGGAAUAGCCAGAGGUCAAGGGAAUACAGAAGAUGGGCACACGAUAGUCCAAGCCAAAACAAUGGGAAACCAGAGAACAGGAUAGUCAGAUACCAAAAAGACAAUCAGAAAUAAAGAGCGCUAGGGGACUCAAACAAGAACCACACUAGGGCGCCUAACAAGUGCCAAGGUUGCCUUUUUAUAGUGUGGGAUCUUUAGCUUUAAAGCCACGCUCCCAAAAGGUCCGGGAGUGUGGCCACGUUUGAAUUUUGGCGGCACUAUUUUGCUGACGACGGAGCGCAUGCGCCGCGUCAUAAAAAUGAGCGUGUUCCGAGCGGCCGGCGUCAGAAGGACU